Molecule: ribosomal RNA, 397 nt
Filed under: uncultured bacterium
Lineage: Bacteria
Description: partial 16S ribosomal RNA
Rfam family: Bacterial small subunit ribosomal RNA
Source: RNAcentral
AUACGUAGGUGACAAGCGUUAUCCGGAUUUACUGGGCGUAAAGGGCGUGUAGGCGGUCUUGCAAGUCAGAAGUGAAAUUCCUGAGCUCAACUCGGGUGCUGCUUCUGAAACUGCAGGACUUGAGUGCUGGAGGGGAUAGCGGAAUUCCUAGUGGAGCGGUAAAAUGCGCAGAUAUUAGGAAGAACACCGGUGGCGAAGGCGGCUAUCUGGACUGUAACUGACGCUGAGGCGCGAAAGUGUGGGGAGCAAACAGGAUUAGAUACCCUGGUAGUCCACACUGUAAACGAUGAAUGCUAGGUGUAGGGGGUAUCGACCCCUUCUGUGCCGCAGUCAACACAAUAAGCAUUCCGCCUGGGGAGUACGGCCGCAAGGUUGAAACUCAAAGGAAUUGACGGGG